CAGUGACAAAUGGUAAGGAAAGACGUUUAGGGAGAGGUUCUUGCUGAUUCCAUGUGUUCGUGCUUGCAAAACUCGAGAUGGUGAAGGCCCAAACGAGAAUAAAAACAUGUACUUUGGACCUCUGGGCUCCGUGUACAACAUUUGUAUGGGCGUAGGUGGCCAGGCCUUCCCUUCCGAGCACUCGGGGCAGCGGUGGGCAGCCUCUCAGGUCCCCGCAGGUCCCCGAACCAGUUUAAGCAACAAGGCGCCUUCCCCUUCAGCGGGCGGCACUUGGCUGAGCAGCUUCCCAGAGCUGCUUUCUAGCCGGGAUUGCAGACUGGGGAGUCGUGCCAAGACGGAAGAGGACAGUUACGAACGGCUUCUUUGAGGAGAUGAGGAAGAUGAGGUUCAGGACCUUGUCCCAGGUCGCUCCGAAGUUCAGUGGCGCAGAAGCCAGGCACACGCCAGCAGCCCAUCUCCAGAACCUUCCAGGCAGCCGCGGUUUGGUGUUUCUGUGUCUCUGACAGAGUGCUGGGUAAGGCUUGGAGCGCGGCUAAGGGGGGCCCAGGUGGGCUGCUGCAAGCCAGCGGGCCAGGCCGGGGGCGGCAUUGCAGAGGGGUCUGGGGACUGAGUAACCAAGAGGGGAAGCGUGUGUGGAGGUGCUCUGUGGGGAGGGGAGCCGCAGCGGCUGGGGAGGCAGACUUGGAAGCCAGGGAGAGCUGUGUGUAGGGGGAGGGGGGAGAUGCCCCUGCUGUGCUGGGGUCCCUGUGUUCGUGGAGGAGGGGGAUGCGGCUUCCCAGGGCAGUUUCUCCCUUCUAUCCGCCCACCCCCAGACCCUGAAUUCUCUGCCAGUGAGCCACCUCUUGAUUCCUCUAGAAGCCCUAGCUGUCAGCACCAGAGCUGCCCUCUGGGGCUUGGCCCCCUUUGCUGGGGUCUCCAGUGUGUUACAAGCCCCGCCUCUCACAGGCUCUCUGACCGCCAUACGCGGCCCACGGAACCUGGUCCGGGUGCUCUCCAGCGGGCUGCGUGGCUGCCCGAGCCUGUGUCUCCAGGUGAGGCUGGGAGAGAAGGCCAGGCCUUUCUCACCUCUCGAGGUUUAUGCUUUGUCCCACACCCGGACGGCACAGUUUUUAGAUGCACCCCCCCAUCUCCUCUCCUGAAGUCUGCACCCCUGCCUCCAACCGCCAUCGCGGGCCUUACCGUGAAGGCUCGGGGAAGGUAGGUGGGCGCCCCCAGGCUGAUGGCGUCUGCUUCUAGCCUUGGAGAAACAGUCACGGGAAUGGUCUGGGCCAUUCUGACGAAAGGGAAUUUGCCAGCAACAACCAGACCAGGAAAGGGGUGCGUGAAGCUGCGGGCAUCGCUUGAUACCUGGCAGGAGGCAGUGGGGACCUGUCUCUGCUUUGAAGAGUUGACCUGGCUCCCCGGGGCCUGUCCCAUGUAUUUGCGAGAUUUGAAGGUAUUGGGGAAGUCAGGAAACUGACUUCUGUCUUGCUUCUCGGAUUUAAAGGAAUAUUACAGUAAAAAUACAUAUAAUUGCAAUGUAA
Mustela erminea (ermine) is the source of this 1523-nucleotide long non-coding RNA. RefSeq lists it as uncharacterized. The transcript is spliced from 2 exons. NCBI's taxonomy places the organism in Eukaryota, Metazoa, Chordata, Mammalia, Carnivora, Mustelidae. The record is from RefSeq and is a predicted model, not a curated record.